UAUAUGUGUGUGUGCAUGUUCAUAUGUGUGUAUAUAUGUGUUUUACAUACACACACACACACACACACACACACCCCACAUAC
RNAcentral lists this microRNA precursor (83 nucleotides) under Chlorocebus sabaeus (green monkey). RNAcentral's name for it is "miRNA (ENSCSAG00000023327.1)". Lineage: Eukaryota; Metazoa; Chordata; Mammalia; Primates; Cercopithecidae. The record is from RNAcentral.